This 394-nucleotide ribosomal RNA is filed under the name uncultured bacterium. RNAcentral describes it as "partial 16S ribosomal RNA". It matches the Rfam family "Bacterial small subunit ribosomal RNA", at positions 338 to 729 of the family's 1533-position model. The record is from RNAcentral.
CCUACGGGUGGCAGCAGUGAGGAAUAUUGGUCAAUGGCCGUAAGCCUGAACCAGCCAAGUCGCGUGAGGGAAGACGGUCCUAUGGUUUGUAAACUUCUUUUGUAGGGGAGUAAAGGUAUCCACGUGUGGAGAUCUGAGUGUACCCAAUGAAUAAGCAUCGGCUAACUCCGUGCCAGCAGCCGCGGUAAUACGGAGGAUGCGAGCGUUAUCCGGAUUUAUUGGGUUUAAAGGGUGCGUAGGUUGGAGGUUAAGUCAGCGGUGAAAGUUAGUGGCUCAACCAUAUACUUGCCGUUGAAACUGGUAGACUUGAGUGUGCGUGAGGUAUGCGGAAUGCGUGGUGUAGCGGUGAAAUGCAUAGAUAUCACGCAGAACUCCGAUUGCGAAGGCAGCAUAC